Megalobrama amblycephala (Wuchang bream) is the source of this 2445-nucleotide long non-coding RNA. RefSeq lists it as uncharacterized. NCBI's taxonomy places the organism in Eukaryota, Metazoa, Chordata, Actinopteri, Cypriniformes, Xenocyprididae. The transcript has 3 exons. The record is from RefSeq and is a predicted model, not a curated record.
UCACCUGACCCCACAGCCACGGAUGCACGUUACCUUCAGAUGAAGUGCAUUUGCCACCUGAGGAGAAGUCACGCCGUGCGGCCGCCAAUUUGGUUCUUGGAAAUCGCACCUCAAUGACGCACAUCAAAAUUCAAUCACACACAAGCACCAUCCAGGCACCCACCUCCACCCCCUUGUUGACUUGAUUAAGAUUCUCACACCUCCAGCUCAGCGUUGAUAUCUGUUCAGAGAGAGACAGAGAGAAUGAAAGAAUGGAAGGAGGAGGUGCAAAGAAGAGGAGGAGAAGUCUCAGAUCUUCGUCUAACUCACAAACCGACCCUAAAUAACCAUCCACCCAAACCACCGUAAGUAACUGGAUGUCCGGCCAACGGGUUCAACAGGGAACAUCUCGUUUCCGACACUAGAUUCAGCGGUCACAGCAGAAAACUCUUUCGAGUUGCGUGCAAACAGAUGUCUUGGGUUACUUAGAAGGUAAGAUCAAGGACAAAUAUAGACACAAGACAUCUCAGUCAAAGAGUCAGGCCUGUUCAAAUCUCACAGCUCGAAUCUAAAUACCACCUGUCCGUCUGUCUCGUGAACGUCAGCACUUUUCACAUCAAAAUUAAUUUUUGGUUGGAUGUGGCUCUACCGCUCUGCUUUGUUUGCCCGGAGUCUUUGCAUCUUCAGAAAGAUGGGAACAGGAGGAUAAAAGACACUUUUAUAAUCAACAUUUUGUCCUUAAGCAGUCUUUUUCUUCUCAAACGAGUUUUCAUUAUUUAUAAGUGCUCCGGAGGUGUAACUGGGCUGGGAUUUCACGCAAAGGUUUGAUAGGAGUUAGAUGAAGCUUACAGAAUUGAUUUGAGAAGCAUGGAAAUUAUUAUCUGCUCCCCGCAUUGCACCGUUAACACAUUUCACCAUGUAUCCCAUGGAAAAAAGUUGAUAUCUCAGCGUGUGGACGCAUGCGUUUAGCCGUGCCUUUGUGUGGAAGUGAAGAACGCAAGUGUCCACUUGAACACUGUGUGACUUCAAAGAUGAAAUGAAGUGCUCAGAAACUGUGAGAAUUGAGAUGAAUUUCUUUCUUGAAGAGGUAUCAAAAUAUCAAAGAAAUCUGAACUGGCUAAUUUGACUCUCGCGUGCAUCUGUCCGAGUUUCAUACUCUCUCAUCCAUCUUCCACAAAGCUUUUUAACAAUGCUUAAAUGAAAAAAAAAAAAAGACAAAUUCAGGCAUAGUUUUUAAAAAGGAAACUCCAGCUAAAUGCACACACAGGCACGCACACAUUUUUCUUUCUCAAUAUGAUGAAUAUUUCAGUACUAAGAAAAGCAAACUGAUUCCAGAGUGAAGAACUGAGGGUCAGUGGAUCUAGUUUUAAAGAAACUUCUCCUUUCUCUCUUCCCAUCUCUCUCUAUCAGUCCUAUAUGCCGCUGUCGUUCUUCCAAGAAUGUUAAUGGAGAAGAAAAAAAUGACAAGAAUGACUUAGACAUACAUGUCAGGGAAAGAGGUCAUCUCAUGGCAGUGGGAUGUUAAUUCUCUUCUAUUAAUGAAAUUUAUCCUCUUCACUGUCUAGUCGCUUCAAAAGCAGGGACCCUCAAAAAAAAAAAAAAAACGUAAGAGGGAGAAAUAAAGGGAGCGGGGCUAAAAGACUUUUUUUUUUUUUUUUUUUUUUUGAGGCCACCGGGGGCAGGGCAAAAGGAAGAGACUGACAAUCGUCAGGUGAUUAAGAGGACUUGGAGGCUAGGUAGACCUACAAAAUGAAUAACCGUGGACCCAAAACCACGCCAUAAGGCUCAAUGGUUUGUGAUUUGCAAGUUGAUAAGACAAGAAGAUUAAUAAUGCUGCAUGAUAAUGGUUGCUGGCGACUCAGCUGGGGAGAUGGUAAUGAUGUGAUCCUGCUGUAGGAGCAGUUCAGCACGCCGCAGCGGUGAAGAGAUGGCAAAAAAAAAAAUGCCAGGAAAAAAAAAACCCACUCAUCCCAAUUGGCCCUCAGGAUAUGGAGAGUUUGAAAAAUGAGAAUACAGUUAUCAUUUUAAUUAGAUAUAAAGUUUUUUUUCACAUAAUUUUGCUGAAAUGAGGACUUCAAAGAAUGCAUUUUGCAGCGUUCAGCCCGCUGUAAUUCCUGAGUGACAGUUUUGUUAAUUUGUGAGGUGUUUUUUUCCUCCCCUGUUUGAAUCAAACUUUUCCUUCAGGCGAUUUGAAGGGGGCAUUAUAAAUGAAAAUCAGGCAGGUGUGUGAGUGUGAGUGUGUGUGCAUGCGUGCUUCUGGGGAGGACGGGAAGACUGAAAUCUCAGCUGUAGACAUAUUCGAUCUGAUGAGUAUCGUAAAACUUAAAGCAAGUUUUUUUUUUUCUUGCUUAAUAAGCACGGAUAGAUAUUGAUGGCUGUGCAUUUUUGCCUUUAGUGAGUUUAAAUGUAUUUGCAUCUUAUUUUAUUUUAAUUAUUACUUAUAGUGGUGCUUUAAUCCUCAGAGAC